CCGGCGCACGGUGGAGUAAUGCGUAUGCAACCUGCCUGAUACCGGGGUAUAGCCCAUGGAAACGUGGAUUAACACCCCAUAGUACUUUUAUCCUGCAUGGGAUGUGAGUUAAAUGUUCAAGGUAUCGGAUGGGCAUGCGUCCUAUUAGUUAGUUGGCGGGGUAACAGCCCACCAAGACGAUGAUAGGUAGGGGUUCUGAGAGGAAGGUCCCCCACAUUGGAACUGAGACACGGUCCAA
This 238-nucleotide ribosomal RNA is filed under the name uncultured bacterium. RNAcentral describes it as "partial 16S ribosomal RNA". It matches the Rfam family "Bacterial small subunit ribosomal RNA", at positions 95 to 334 of the family's 1533-position model. The record is from RNAcentral.